This 253-nucleotide ribosomal RNA is filed under the name uncultured bacterium. RNAcentral's name for it is "partial 16S ribosomal RNA". It matches the Rfam family "Bacterial small subunit ribosomal RNA", at positions 524 to 776 of the family's 1533-position model. The record is from RNAcentral.
UACGGAGGGUGCAAGCGUUGUCCGGAUUUAUUGGGUUUAAAGGGUGCGUAGGCGGCCCUGUAAGUCAGUGGUGAAAUACUGCAGCUUAACUGUAGCAUUGCCAUUGAUACUGUAGGGCUUGAGUACGGAUGAGGUAGGCGGAAUUGAUGGUGUAGCGGUGAAAUGCAUAGAUACCAUCAAGAACACCGAUUGCGAAGGCAGCUUACUAAGCUGUAACUGACGCUGAGGCACGAAAGCGUGGGGAUCGAACAGG